Molecule: ribosomal RNA, 294 nt
Filed under: uncultured bacterium
Lineage: Bacteria
Description: partial 16S ribosomal RNA
Rfam family: Bacterial small subunit ribosomal RNA
Source: RNAcentral
UUGUUCCUACGGGGCGCAGCAGUGGGGGAUAUUGCACAAUGGGGGAAACCCUGAUGCAGCGACGCCGCGUGUGGGAAGACGGUCUUCUGGAUUGUAAACCACUGUCCCCAGGGACGAAAAUGACGGUACCUGGGGAGGAAGCUCCGGCUAACUACGUGCCAGCAGCCGCGGUAAUACGUAGGGAGCAAGCGUUAUCCGGAUUUACUGGGUGUAAAGGGCGUGUAGGCGGGCAUGCCAGCCAGAAGUGAAAUCUGGGGGCUUAACCCCCAAACUGCUUUUGGAACUGCGUGUCUU